RNAcentral lists this transfer RNA (87 nucleotides) under Deltaproteobacteria bacterium. Its description in RNAcentral is "tRNA-Leu". It matches the Rfam family "tRNA". From Rfam's summary of the family: Transfer RNA (tRNA) molecules are approximately 80 nucleotides in length. Their secondary structure includes four short double-helical elements and three loops (D, anti-codon, and T loops). The record is from RNAcentral. Lineage: Bacteria; Pseudomonadati; Myxococcota; Myxococcia.
GCCGAAGUGGCGGAACUGGUAGACGCACGGGUCUCAAAAACCCGCGAGAUUAUUCUCAUGUCGGUUCGAUCCCGACCUUCGGCACCA